Molecule: long non-coding RNA, 401 nt
Organism: Gorilla gorilla gorilla (western lowland gorilla)
Lineage: Eukaryota; Metazoa; Chordata; Mammalia; Primates; Hominidae
Exons: 2
Source: RefSeq, a predicted model, not a curated record
AGCAGUGCCCAGAGUCAGGGUCCUCCGCUGCCUGAGGCGUCAACAUGCCUGCCUGCAAUGUGUUUGUGCAUGUGCGUGCACACAUGGCCUAGGGGAUGCCAAAUUCCAGGGGCCAGAAAGAGCUUGGGAUAAAAUGAAACUUCAAGGGGACGGCUUUGACGUGGGCUGAGUCUACCUGUGCCAUCCAACUGGAGUCUCAAGUCCUGAGGCAGGACGUCCAGAUGCCCCAGUGCAGGGCCCUCCUGAUCAACACCUGCUCCCCUCUACUCAUUAGCAACCUCACCCACCCUACUCUCAAAGCACACUUGGCUCUCGUAUCCAGGAGCUCUGCAUCUGUAGAUUCAGCAACAGCAGAUGGAAAAUAUUCAGAAAAUAAAUUGGACGGUUAUGUUUGUAUUGAA